CAAGUAGCUGGGAUUACAGAUUCGUGCUACCACACCUGGCUCAUAUUUGUAUUUUUAGUAGAGAUGGGAUUUCACCAUGUUGGCCAGGCUGGUCUUGAACUCCUGACCUCAAGUGAUCCGCCUGCCUCGGACUCUCAAAGUGCUGAGAUUGCAGGUGUGAGCCACCAUGCCUGGGCUAACAGCUUUAUUUGAAAUACCUCAAACCUGAGAACAACUCAAAGGUUAAUCAACAGAUUAAUGGACAAACAAAUUGUGGUACAUCCAGACAACGAACUACUGCUUAACAAUCACAAUAACAACAACAACAAAAUGAAAUAUUGAGAUACAUAAAAACAUAGAUGAAUCUCAAAAUAAUUACGUUAAGUGCAAAAAGCCAGCUCCUCCAUGUAUAUACUGUAUGACUUCAUUUAUAUAAAAUUCUAGAAUAUGUAAGGUAAUCUAUAAUGAGAGAAAUAAGAUGCUGGCUACCUGAGGAUGGAGUUGGGGAGGAAGGAAAAAGAGGAAGGGAUUUCCAAGGGUGCUGAAUGUUAGGCUGAAACCUUAUCCCCAGUGCAUUAAUAUGAAGAGGUGCGGUCUCUGGGAGGGGAUUAGGUAGUGAGGGCUCUGUCCUCAUGUAGGGAUGAGUGCCCUUAUAAAAGAGGCCCAAAGGAGCUUCUGCCAUGUGAGGACACUGCAAAAAGGUGUCAUGUAUGAAGCAGGGAGCCCUCACCAGACACCAAAUCUGCUGGUGUCUUGAUUUUGGACUUCCCAGCCUCUGGAACUAUUAUUUCGGUAUGUCGUGCUGCUACUGCUCCUUGAAGCAUUUGGGUGGCAUUUUGUUUGCAGUUAGAACACCUACACCCAGAGAUUCUGCCUGUCCUCUUUGCAGCCCUUCUGUUGUGGAAAACACCUCUUCUCUGGAGCACAGGACAUAG
Molecule: long non-coding RNA, 914 nt
Filed under: Callithrix jacchus (white-tufted-ear marmoset)
Lineage: Eukaryota; Metazoa; Chordata; Mammalia; Primates; Cebidae
Description: lncRNA (ENSCJAG00000077248.1)
Source: RNAcentral